CGGGUGCACUGAUCCAGCCGGGCCUUUCCCUCUGUGGAACCCCAUGGCCUUCACUGGCUGUGGUGGGGAAACAGGACUUUUACUUUGAAAAAAUUAGAGUGCUCCAGGCAGGCCUAUGCUCGAAUACAUUAGCAUGGAGUAAUAGAAUAGGACGUGUGGUUCUAUUUUGUUGGUUUCUAGGACCGCCGUAAUGAUUAAUAGGGACAGUCGGGGGCAUCAGUAUUCAAUUGUCAGAGGUGAAAUUCUUGGAUCUAUUGAAGACUAACUACUGCGAAAGCAUUUGCCAAGGAUGUUUUCAUUGAUAAGGAACGAAAGUUAGGGGAUCGAAGACGAUCAGAUACCGUCGUAGUCUUAACUAUAAACUAUGCCGACUAGGGAUCGGACGAUGUUAUUCUUUGACGCGUUCGGCACCUUUCGAGAAAUCAAAGUGCUUGGGCUCCAGGGGGAGUAUGGUCGCAAGGCUGAAACUUAAAGAAAUUGACGGAAGGGCACCACCAGGGGUGGAACCUGCGGCUUAAUUUGACUCAACACGGGGAAACUCACCAGGUCCAGACACAGUGAGGAUUGACAGAUUGAGAGCUCUUUCUUGAUUCUGUGGGUGGUGGUGCAUGGCCGUUCUUAGUUGGUGGAGUGAUUUGUCUGCUUAAUUGCGAUAACGAACGAGACCUUAACCUGCUAAAUAGCCCGUACUGCUUUGGCAGUUCGCCGGCUUCUUAGAGGGACUAUCGG
RNAcentral lists this ribosomal RNA (729 nucleotides) under uncultured eukaryote. RNAcentral's name for it is "SSU rRNA". It matches the Rfam family "Eukaryotic small subunit ribosomal RNA", at positions 670 to 1426 of the family's 1831-position model. The record is from RNAcentral.